AAAGAUUUAAGUUAAAAAAACUAAUAGCCUUCAAAGCUUUAAUUGAUCAAAGUCAAUCUUUA
Molecule: transfer RNA, 62 nt
Filed under: Anodonta exulcerata
Lineage: Eukaryota; Metazoa; Mollusca; Bivalvia; Unionida; Unionidae
Description: tRNA-Trp
Source: RNAcentral